RNAcentral lists this ribosomal RNA (318 nucleotides) under uncultured bacterium. RNAcentral describes it as "bacterial SSU rRNA". It matches the Rfam family "Bacterial small subunit ribosomal RNA", at positions 28 to 334 of the family's 1533-position model. The record is from RNAcentral.
GAUAAACGCUGGCGGCGCACAUAAGACAUGCAAGUCGAACGGACUUAACCAUUAGUUUACUAUUGGAGCGGUUAGUGGCGGACUGGUGAGUAACGCGUAAGCAAUCUGCCUUUAAGCGGGGGAUAACUACCGGAAACAGCAGCUAAUACCCCAUAGUAAGGAUUUAGGCAUCUAUUUCCUUUUAAAGACGCGUUUGCGUCACUUAUUGAUGGGCUUAUGGUGUAUUAGCUAGUUGGUGGGGUAACUGCUCACCAAGGCGAUGAUACAUAGCCGGCCUGAGAGGGUGAACGGCCACAUUGGGACUGAGACACGGCCCAG